AUAAAUUUUUGUAUUAAUUUAUUUUUAUUUUAAUAAUAAAAUUAAAAUUUAAUUUAGUAAUUAAUAUUAAAAAUUUAAGAAAUUAAGAUUUAGUAAUAUUUAAAUUAAUAACAAAUUUUGUGCCAGCAGUUGCGGUUAAACAAAAGUUAAAUUAAAAUUUAUUAGUUAAUUAAUUAAUAAAAGAAAAUUAUAUUUAAUUAAAUUUUAAAUUAUUAGGUGAAAUUUUAAUUUAAUUAAAAUUAAAUUAUAUAUUAUAAUUUAAUAAAUUUCAUUAAUAAACUAGGAUUAGAUACCCUAUUAUAAGAAAAUUAAAUAUAUAAUAUACUAAAAUAGUAAUUAAUUAUUUAUUGAAACUUAAAUAAUUUGGCGGUAUUUUAGUUCAUUUAGAGGAAUCUGUUUAAUAAUUGAUAAUCCACGAAUAAAUUUACUUAAUUUAUUAUUUUGUAUAUCGUUGUUAAAAAAAUAUUUUUAAAUAAUAAUAAUAUUUAAUAUUUUAAAUUUAAAAUUAAAUCAGAUCAAGAUGCAGAUUAUAAUUAAGAAUAUAAUGGAUUACAAUAAAUUUAUUUAUACUAAUGUUAUCUUGAAAAAGUUAAUUGAGGGUGGAUUUAAAUGUAAUUUUAUUUAAUUUAUUAAAAUGAUUAAAAAUUAAAAUAUGUACAUAUUGCCCGUCGCUUUCAUUAAUAAAUUGGAAUAAGUCGUAACAAAGUAGAGGUACUGGAAAGUGUUUCUAGAAAUAA
This 737-nucleotide ribosomal RNA is filed under the name Prophantis octoguttalis. RNAcentral describes it as "12S ribosomal RNA". The record is from RNAcentral. Lineage: Eukaryota; Metazoa; Arthropoda; Insecta; Lepidoptera; Crambidae.